CACGCUUCCGGGGCCGAGGACCGCAGGGUGCCACCGGAUACGGAGGCUCGCGCUUCGGCGCGACACGCCCUAAGGAUGCUGGGGACUUGGCCUUAAUCGACCCGUCUUGAAACACGGACCAAGGAGUCUAACAAGGAUGCGAGUAGGCGGGUGGCAAACCCGUAUGCGCAAUGGAAGUGAGAGGUGGGAGCCGCAAGGCGCACCAUCGACCGACCGGAAAGCGCUUGCGCGGAACGGAUCGAGUAGGAGCAUGAUUGUUGGGACCCGAAAGAUGGUGAACUAUGCCUGAGCAGGAUGAAGCCAGGGGAAACUCUGGUGGAGGUCCGUAGCGAUACUGACGUGCAAAUCGUUCGUCAGACUUGGGUAUAGGGGCGAAAGACUAAUCGAACCAUCUAGUAGCUGGUUCCCUCCGAAAUGUCCCUCAGGACAGCUUUGCCCGUAGUGCAGUUUUAUCCGGUCAAGCGAAUGAUUAGAGGUCUUAGGGUUGAAACGACCUUAACCUAUUCUCAAACUUUUAAUGGGUAAGCAGAGGGUGUUACUUGAGUGAACCCUUCUGACAAAUGCGUGGGCAAAAGUGGGCCAUUUUUGGUAAGCAGAACUGGCGAUGCGGGAUGAACCGAACGGCGAGGUAAGGUGCCGAACUGUGCGCUUGAUAGAUAUUAUAAAAGGUGUGGGUUCAUUUAGAUAGUUAGAUGGUGGUUAUGGAAGUUGGU
This 713-nucleotide ribosomal RNA is filed under the name Imasa heleensis. Its description in RNAcentral is "partial large subunit ribosomal RNA". It matches the Rfam family "Eukaryotic large subunit ribosomal RNA", at positions 548 to 1265 of the family's 3401-position model. Lineage: Eukaryota; Malawimonada; Malawimonadea; Malawimonadida; Imasidae. The record is from RNAcentral.